Molecule: long non-coding RNA, 2030 nt
Organism: Perca fluviatilis (European perch)
Lineage: Eukaryota; Metazoa; Chordata; Actinopteri; Perciformes; Percidae
Exons: 3
Source: RefSeq, a predicted model, not a curated record
GCACACUGGAGACUCUCAGUAUGUCAGGCUGUCUGAUCUCAGAGGAAGGCUGUUCUUCACUGGUCUCAGCUCUGAGCUCCAACCCCUCCCAUCUGAGAGAGCUGGACCUCAGCUACAAUCAUCCAGGAGACUCGGGAGUGAAGCUACUGUCAGAGGGACUGAAGGAUCCUCUCUGGAGACUGGACACUCUCAGAUCAAGUCUGUUUCAACUCGACAGAAAGGUCCAGGACAAGUUUAGCCUAGCUUAGCACAAAGCAAUGUGCUUUCUACGCUGUGAGAAGAGUGUGUGGAUGAAGCAUUAUUCUACUCUUUCAGAAGACUAGUUAGCUAGAGGUUUACAAUGUCAGCUGCCGGUGCUGCAUGGCUCAUUUGAUCGAUCAGAGACAUACACUGACGUCUGGUCCAAUUAUUGCAUAAAGUUCCUCUUGUGCUGGGAGAGUACAGACUUUGAGGUCAAAAAGUCCCUCAAAAUGCUCUUUCCUAGUUCCUGCAGUGCAAACACAAUAUAUGUGUGUGUGAGAGAGAUGUAAUGUUGAUGUUUCUCUACAGAGAAAGGUCCACUGUUGCACCAAAUGCUUGCUCUUGGGGGAUUGUUGGGUCUCUGUAAAUGAUAGUGUGGCAGUGGUGCCAGCAGCCGUAAUCCUGUACGCACUGUGUAUAUUUUUCUCAUCUAAUGAUAACAAUGUGUAAAUGCACAUAGUCUGUUCUGCUCUCUGCUAUGUUCAGUUAUAGUUUACUAGUUAUUUCUACGUUAUUUCACCCACAAGCCAUCCACUAUUAAUCAGAAUAUUCAUUGUUAUGACUUGAUCUGUAGCUCAGAGGUGGGCUGUCAGGGCAAGGCCUUCUCUGCUGGCAAAGAGAUUGUCAGAAUCAGAAAAUUAUAUUUUAUAAUUAAAGGCCUAUAUAGUCAUUUCUAAAAUAUAUAUAUAUUUAUCAAUUUCAUAUGUAUUUUAUAUAUUGUAUACGCUGCAAGUUUGUUUGGAUUUUUAGAUGUAAAGUUAAUGAAAGGAAGUUGGAUGUAUUUUUCUUCACAUGACAAGCAGCUUUUGUUAAGUUUAAUGGAUUUUUCAGCAUUUUAUUGAAAUUAUUUUAUAGCUAUUACUGCUUGCUUUAGGUGUUAAAGAUUGGAGCAGUGUCAGUGGUUGAUGUGUCUUUGUUUGUGUUAAGCCCCCGCUGCUUGGCUGGAAUUUGGGGGGAGGCCUGUUGAUCGUUGAUUGUGUUAUUUGUGUUUUUGAUUGCUUUGUGGUCACCGUAUGAGUAAAUAUGACCGGUUGUUGUGGGUUUCUUUGGUAAUUCCAUUCAUUUUGACUACAUGUGUUGCAGCAUCCUGUCAUACUGUGUGAAAGUGAUGCUUCAGUCAGCGUGUGUUCAUGUCUCUGCAGUAGCGUAUUAGGUGUUUCUAGGUGUUAAAUCACGUUAUUCCACACGGUAAUGUCCUAGUGUCAUGGUGAGGUUAUUCAAAGGUGAUGUAAUUGCUGUAGGAUAGUACUUGUCAAGUUACGUAUUUAGUACUGAAGGCCCAGGUGUAAAAUACACAGCCCUCCACUGCUGUAGAUAAACUGCUGGUUGCUAUGGACGCUGCUAUCUCUGAACCCACGGAUCUAGCAUGUUGUUGGUAUCAUAUGUGUUUACAUGGACAUGAAUAUUCCAGUCAUGAGGAUUAUCCUGUUUUUGAUCAUAUUCAGGAUAUGAUGUUUAGGCUACAUGGCACACAGAGAAAUCAGGUUAUUCACAUCAGUCAGUCAGGCAAUAGGGCAUAGUGAACUCAGUGGUGCCUACCGUAACAGAGGGGGGGCUAAGGGGGGAAAAGCUGGUCCUCAUUCACAAAUUUCCCAUUAGAAUCUAUAAGGAUAAUGAUCUCAGCAUCACUGGUUUUCUUUUGCUCUCCAGAUGUUUUAGGCUCUCUCAGGUUCAGCUCCUCUCUUAUAGCAGUGAGAUCUCUGCCCAUGACCUGUCUGUCUGCUGUAUCUCCUCUCUUACAGCAGUGAGAUCUCUGCCCAUGACCUGUCUGUCUGCUGUAUCUCCUCUCU